RNAcentral lists this ribosomal RNA (883 nucleotides) under uncultured eukaryote. Its description in RNAcentral is "SSU rRNA". It matches the Rfam family "Eukaryotic small subunit ribosomal RNA", at positions 561 to 1464 of the family's 1831-position model. The record is from RNAcentral.
CUUGUGCCAAGCAGCCGCGGUAAUUCCAGCUCCAAUAGCGUAUAUUAAAGUUGUUGCGGUUAAAAAGCUCGUAGUUGGAUCUCGGCGGGCAGGGGGUGGUUCGCUCUUCAGCGCUACUGCCCCGCUUUGCCCGUGUGAUUGGCGGAGGUUUCGGGGUGCUCUUCGUUGAGUGACUCGGAGCGCCGUCAGGUUUACUUUGAAAAAAUUAGAGUGCUCAAAGCAGGCUUUUCACGCUUGAAUAUUCGUGCAUGGAAUAAUGGAAUAGGAACUCGUUUCUAUUUUGUUGGUUUUCGGAAAUCGAGUUAAUGAUUAACAGGGACAAUUGGGGGCAUUAGUAUUCAGACGACAGAGGUGAAAUUCUUGGACCGUCUGAAGACUGACUACUGCGAAAGCAUUUGCCAAGAGUGUUUUCAUUAAUCAAGAACGAAAGUUAGAGGUUCGAAGGCGAUCAGAUACCGCCCUAGUUCUAACCAUAAACGAUGCCAGCUAGCGAUCUGCCGAGUUUUUUUUGUAGGCUCCGCAGGAAGCUUUCGGGAAACCAAAGCUUUUGGGUUCCGGGGGAAGUAUGGUUGCAAAGCUGAAACUUAAAGGAAUUGACGGAAGGGCACCACCAGGAGUGGAGCCUGCGGCUUAAUUUGACUCAACACGGGAAAUCUCACCAGGCCCGGACACUGGAAGGAUUGACAGAUUGAGAGCUCUUUCUCGAUUCGGUGGGUGGUGGUGCAUGGUCGUUCUUAGUUGGUGGAGUGAUUUGUCUGGUUAAUUCCGAUAACGAACGAGACUCUGUCCUGCUAAAUAGUUGGGUCGUCCUUCGUGCGAUCCAAGUUCUUCUUAGAGGGACUGGCUGCGUCUAGCAGCACGAGAUUGAGCAAUAACAGGUCUG